AAUGGACGCUGGCGGCGUGGUUAAGACAUGCAAGUCGAACGGUUUUUCAGGUGUAGCAAUACAUUUGAAAAGCAGCGGCGAACGGGUGCGUAACACGUGAACAAUCUACCUUUUAGUGUGGAAUAGCUCGGCGAAAGCCGGAUUAAUACCGCAUGUGGUUGCUGCUCGCAUGAGUGGCAUACUAAAGUCAGGGACCGCAAGGCCUGACGCUAUUAGAGGAGUCGCGGCCUAUCAGCUAGUUGGCGAGGUAACGGCUCACCAAGGCUAAGACGGGUAGCUGAUCUGAGAGGGUGGUCCCCCACACUGGAACUGACAAACGGUCCAGACUCCUACGGGAGGCAGCAGUAAGGGAUAUUGCGCAAUGGGCGAAAGCCCUGACGCAGCAACACCGCGUGGAGGAUGAAGGCCUUCGGGUCG
RNAcentral lists this ribosomal RNA (417 nucleotides) under uncultured bacterium. RNAcentral's name for it is "bacterial SSU rRNA". It matches the Rfam family "Bacterial small subunit ribosomal RNA", at positions 29 to 425 of the family's 1533-position model. The record is from RNAcentral.